Molecule: ribosomal RNA, 490 nt
Filed under: uncultured bacterium
Lineage: Bacteria
Description: partial 16S ribosomal RNA
Rfam family: Bacterial small subunit ribosomal RNA
Source: RNAcentral
AUUGAACGCUGGCGGCAGGCCUAACACAUGCAAGUCGAACGGUAACAGGAAACAGCUUGCUGUUUCGCUGACGAGUGGCGGACGGGUGAGUAAUGUCUGGGAAACUGCCUGAUGGAGGGGGAUAACUACUGGAAACGGUAGCUAAUACCGCAUAACGUCGCAAGACCAAAGAGGGGGACCUUCGGGCCUCUUGCCAUCGGAUGUGCCCAGAUGGGAUUAGCUAGUAGGUGGGGUAACGGCUCACCUAGGCGACGAUCCCUAGCUGGUCUGAGAGGAUGACCAGCCACACUGGAACUGAGACACGGUCCAGACUCCUACGGGAGGCAGCAGUGGGGAAUAUUGCUCAAUGGGCGCAAGCCUGAUGCAGCCAUGCCGCGUGUAUGAAGAAGGCCUUCGGGUUGUAAAGUACUUUCAGCGGGGAUGAAGGGAGUAAAGUUAAUACCUUUGCUCAUUGACGUUACCCGCAGAAGAAGCACCGGCUAACUCCGUG